AAUCUUGCGCAUUGGGCGAAAGCCUGACGCAGCCAUGCCGCGUGAAUGAGUAAAGCCUUAGGUUGGUAAAAUUCUUUCACCGGGGACGAUAAUGACGGUACCCGGAGACGAAGCCCCGGCUAACUUCGUGCCAGCAGCCGCGGUAAUACGAAGGGGGCUAGCGUUGCUCGGAAUUAUUGGGCGUAAAGGGCGCGUUGGCGGACAUUUAAGUCGGGGGUGAAAUCCCAGAGCUAAACUCUGGAACUGCCUUUGAUACUGGGUGACUUGAGUAUGAGAGAGGUAUGUGGAACUCCGAGUGAAGAGGUGAAAUUCGUAGAUAUUCGGAAGAACACGAGUGGCGAAGGCGACAUACUGGCUCAUUACUGACGCUGAGGCGCGAAAGCGUGGGGAGCAAACAG
RNAcentral lists this ribosomal RNA (398 nucleotides) under uncultured bacterium. Its description in RNAcentral is "partial 16S ribosomal RNA". It matches the Rfam family "Bacterial small subunit ribosomal RNA", at positions 360 to 775 of the family's 1533-position model. The record is from RNAcentral.